AUUUAUUAGUAUAAUGCGGCAAAAUUAUAUCAUAUAAGUUAACCGCACGGAGCUGGAGUCUGAAGUCUUGUUUUGUGUUCCACUGUUUCAAUAUUAGUAUUACUUAAUUGGCAGUUUAUAAAUUAAGUUUUUUGUAUUUUUGAAGGUACUAAAGAAUUAAUAUAAAAGCCUGAUUUUAUCUUGACAGGUUGUUCAUAAUUGUCAAGAACAACAUGGUUUGAACUGGUUAUCACCAGAAUUAGCGUCUUCACUAUGUGCAAUAUUUCAUCGUCAACAGAAUGCUGCAAGUUAUUUUGAAGAGAUCAAGAGACUCCAAGUCGGAUUUGCGAAUCACUGCAACGAGCUCAUUUACAGGAGUACUUCACUUCACUCUAUUGAAAUUUGGGAUGAAGACAAUUUGAUUGCUGGAGAAUUCGGAUUUGCUAUUGGAGGAUGUUAUCAAUCGGCCUCUGGCUUUUCUAACAAAGCUUACAAUGGAGCUGGAACUAUUCAAUGUGUCACUCUUGGAAUCAUUUUAAAGGAAAACGGAUUUGACUUUUGGGAUUUAGGAAUGAAUUUGGAGUACAAACGCCGACUGGGUGCGCAUGUAAUCCGAAGAGAAGAUUUUUUGACAUUGUUGUGUAAUACGAGAGACAGAGAAGACCUACCAGAGAUGAACCAAAUACUCAAUAAUAAUGUUUUCUGUAUUGAUAUAGUAAAAAGGC
Molecule: long non-coding RNA, 704 nt
Organism: Zophobas morio
Lineage: Eukaryota; Metazoa; Arthropoda; Insecta; Coleoptera; Tenebrionidae
Exons: 4
Source: RefSeq, a predicted model, not a curated record